UGCACUUGCGUAUGUGCGAUGAUUAUAAAUGUGAAUAAAGUCUAAAGUUUAAAUUAUAUAAAACGAUCGCUUCAGAGGACUUGGAGGAAACCACUUGAUUCAUAUAUAUUACUUAUUAAAGUUAACAGUGUUGGUGUUUUGCCUUUCAUCGGAGGGAAGGUCUGUCUUUCGAAGUGGAGCUACAUUCAAUUUGACCAAACGGAGCAAAUUAAGUCGUUGCAGACACGAGCAGAUGAAGAUGCUGACCACAGAUGUUGUUAAUGGCAAUUCUCCCGUAAAAGCACGCCCAUGGCAAAGCAAAAGAAAUAGCCGCCCACGUGCCAACCGACGAGCGAUAGGAAGACCCGUUUAUCAAGAAUGGCUGCGCUGUGGGCCUGCAGCUGCAGCUCGUUACUCCUGUGAUAGUAAGAGAAGUUGUGUGUUUAUUUGUUCACGGCAUUUCAGUGAUGGAUGUUAUAUAGAUGGUGGAUAUAACGCUGGAUUUGGAGAUCGUUUGAAACUGAUAGAUGGCGCGGUCCCAGUGCUAAAAGAUACCAAACAUGAACUGCACGCGAUCCUGUGAUGAAGCAGUCUUUAAAUACUACAGGGUCUCAAUUGCAAGUCUUUCAUACUCAAAGAAUUGACCCUCCACUUGAAGCUGAAGAUCUCUUUAACUGUUCUGUUUCUUCAUAUGGGUCUAUUUGGUUAACCUGUUCUGUCUCUUACAUUUGCAGGCUAAUAUUUGC
Molecule: long non-coding RNA, 725 nt
Organism: Triplophysa rosa
Lineage: Eukaryota; Metazoa; Chordata; Actinopteri; Cypriniformes; Nemacheilidae
Exons: 4
Source: RefSeq, a predicted model, not a curated record